This 399-nucleotide unclassified non-coding RNA is filed under the name soil metagenome. RNAcentral's name for it is "partial contains 5.8S ribosomal RNA, internal transcribed spacer 2, and large subunit ribosomal RNA". The stretch from base 1 to 122 matches the Rfam family "5.8S ribosomal RNA", at positions 35 to 154 of the family's 154-position model. The record is from RNAcentral.
GAUGAAGAACGUAGCGAAAUGCGAUACUUGGUGUGAAUUGCAGAAUCCCGUGAACCAUCGAGUCUUUGAACGCAAGUUGCGCCCGAAGCCAUCAGGUUGAGGGCACGUCUGCCUGGGCGUCACAUAUCGUUGCUCGAUGCCUAUCGCAUUGCGAUAGGACUUAGGGCGAAUGAUGGCUUCCCGUGAGCGUUGUUGCCUCGCGGUUGGUUGAAAAUCGAGUGCAUGGUGUCGGGUGUACCAUGAUGGAUGGUGGUUGAGUGAUGAUGCUCGAGACCAAUCAUGGGUAACUCCACCAGAAUUGGGCUCGGUGACCCACAUGCGUCCCUUGGAUGUUCCCUAAGGAGACCUCAGGUCAGGCGGGGCUACCCGCUGAGUUUAAGCAUAUCAAUAAGCGGAGGA